CCUGAACUCCAGGGCUCCAGUGACCUACUCCCUCAUCCUCCCAAGUAGCUGGGACUAUGGAUCUGCUCUCACAGGAGGAUCUUGUCAAGACACAGACCCCAAGAUGUGACAAUUCCUGGGAGAUUAUGAUGACAGCUGGGUGAAUCUUGGUGGCACACACAGAGCUACAUCUACUACACUGGUUAGAACUUCCUGAUGAAGGGUCAUGUCCCCGCACCCAGGACUGGAGCUCCUCAGGCAGGAUGGUCAGGAAUUGUUCCAGCACC
Long non-coding RNA from Fukomys damarensis (Damara mole-rat), 266 nucleotides. RefSeq lists it as uncharacterized. The transcript has 4 exons. The record is from RefSeq and is a predicted model, not a curated record. NCBI's taxonomy places the organism in Eukaryota, Metazoa, Chordata, Mammalia, Rodentia, Bathyergidae.